RNAcentral lists this ribosomal RNA (253 nucleotides) under uncultured bacterium. RNAcentral's name for it is "partial 16S ribosomal RNA". It matches the Rfam family "Bacterial small subunit ribosomal RNA", at positions 524 to 776 of the family's 1533-position model. The record is from RNAcentral.
UACGAAGGGUCCAAGCGUUAUCCGGAUUUAUUGGGUUUAAAGGGUGCGUAGGCGGCUUAUUAAGUCAGUGGUGAAAGACUUCAGCUUAACUGAAGAACUGCCAUUGAUACUGAUGAGCUUGAAUGUAGUUGAGGUGGGCGGAAUGUGUCUUGUAGCGGUGAAAUGCUUAGAUAUGACACAGAACACCGAUUGCGAAGGCAGCUCGCUACACGAAUAUUGACUCUGAGGCACGAAAGCGUGGGGAUCAAACAGG